AGCUACAUAUAUAACAUUUGUAUUCUAUUAGGUACUAUAAGUAAUCUGCAGAUUAUUUAGAGUAUAGUGGAGUAUUUAUGUAUGUUAUAUGUAAGUACUAUGAUAUUUUAUUUAAGGAACUUGAACUUCUUUGGAAUUUUAAUCCAAGAUGGUUCUGAAACCAAUUCUCCUGCCCCUGCAUUGGAUACUAGGGUAUGGAUGUACAAUAUAAUGACUACUUUAUGUAUUUUCUAUAGGGUUUAUCGAAAACUUAAAGUUAUUUCUUAGCCAAAAUGUCCAUGUCUAUUCUGGUACUGUUAACCUUUGUAUCAGGUGGAAAACAACCAAGAAUACAGGCUCAGAUAAUGAGUUCUGAUAGAGGAACACAAUUCAUUAAAGUGCUGCUAGAAAGCUGUACUUUGAAGUCUUGUGAAGGAAAAUUAAACUUGGCAGGAAUUGGAGGGCAGAUACCCAACUUUUUUUUUUUUUCCCUCCCUCACAGUAAAGUUGAGGGUAGUUGUUUGUCAGUUCCGUCUUGGCAGGAGGUGGCUCAGGAAAAAGGAAUCUAGAAAUUGUUUUUCCUAUAAAGAUAAAGUAAAAGCUAAUUUACUGUCCUACUAAAUCUCAUGCCUCACUUCAACAGAUCAAGGUGAAAUCAGUGAUCAGAGGAAUCAAAUACUAAAGAGAUGUCAAUAAAAUUAGUUUAGACCACUGACAGAUUUUCUUUCCUUCCAUAAAUUGUGAAAUAAAACCCAAGAUAAAUUUUAUUAUCUUGUAAAGAAGGCUUGUGAUUUAAAAGAAAACCUAUGAAAUGGACAAAGCAUAGAGCAAUGUAACAAAAGUAUUUCUUGUAGAAAACCAAAAAAAUGAACAUUUUUAAAAUUGCUCAAAGUGUUAGAGAUAUCCCUAUAAAACUCUGCUUUAUAGAAACUAAUUUUUUUAAAAAUUGGCUUAAUUUUUUUAGAACAGUGCAGUUCAAGGUUACCAUGCAUAUAUUAAAUAAUUACUUUAUUAAUUAAAUUUCAUGGCUUAUUAAGAUUUCCUUAGUUUUUAUCUAAUGUCCUUCAUUUGUACCAAGAUUUCAUCCAGGAUUCUACACUGCAUUUGUUUGUCAUGUCUACUUAGGCUCCUUAUGGCCAUGGUAAUUUCUCGUUUUUCAGUGACUUUGUCAAUUUGGAGGAGUACUAAUUGUGAGGGCAGUAGGGAGGAAGGAGGCAGAGGCUGGAGCAGUGAGUUUGCAAGCAGGGUUUAUUGGCCAACAGAGUGGCCAGGAGCACUGAGCAAGUAAAACUCAGGGCCACUGCUGUUGGGAGAGAAUCAGGUUUUAUAGGUAGGGGGUCAUGUUCUGAGUUCUACAGUUCCAGGAUGGCAGUUGAGAUCACGGUAUAAAAUUUAAUUUUCUCCUUGGAGCUGUCUUUGUCAGCCACUUCCUGGGCUUGGAUGUUUCACCUGUGGAGGUCUGAUAAAGUGGAGACUGCAGGUCCGGGUCUGGGUGAGUCAAUGAGCCAUGCGGACUUAUUCAUUCUUAGGCCUGUCUUUUAGUUUUUACCUAAGACUAAACAGAUAUUUUAAAGUAGGUUAUAUGGAAUCCAUCUCAUAAUUUUCUCAUGAUAAUAUUGGGAUUCAUAGAUACAAACUAUUGCCUUUGGAAUGGAUUAGCAAUGAGAUUCUGCUGUGUAGCCUUGGGAACUAUGUCUAGUUACUUGCGAUGGAGCAUGAUAAUGUACGAAAAUAGAAUGUGUACAUGUAUGGGUAGCUAGGUCACCAUGCUGUACAGUAGAAAAAAAUUGUAUUGGGGAAAAUAACUAUUAAAAAUAAUAAUAAUAUUGGGAUUCUAAGUUAUUGGGAGGAAGAUGACAGAGAAAAAGUGCCAUUUUCGGCAUACUUUCUCCAAACACAUACAUCAAUAGGGUUUAUGAUUGUUGAUACUGACUUUCAUCAUCUGGCUAGUGUUGUAUUCAUUAGAUUUCUCCUCAGUGAAUGUAUUCUUUUUUCUCUCUUUUCUGUUCUCUUUCUUUGGAGAGAGAUAGCACUUUUCUUUAUCCCCAAAGCACCUUUAUUGUUGUUUAUCAGGGGAGGUGCAGGCUGUUUUUUUUUUUUUUUUUCUUAUUAUACUGAGCUGUGGUUGGACAGAAGGGCAGCUUUGAUUAUUUCCAUACUCUAAGUACCUUUCACAGAGUUUGUUGUAUAGGGAAUUUUCAAGUAAAUAUGUGUUGAAUCAAAAGAUGUUUUGUAAUAAAUCAAAAAUUUUUAACUCAAAACUAGUUUUAAUAAGCCAAUAUGCAUAAAGGGCAGUAUAUUUUGUCCUAAAAUUAGAAUAUAGCCUUAAAAUAUCCUAAAAAGUUGGGAGUUCCCAUUGUGGCUCAGCAGAAAUGAAUCUGACAAGAAUCAAUGAAGAUGCAGGUUUGAUCCCUAGCCUCACUCAGUGGGUUGGGGAUCCUGUGUUGCUGUGGCAUAGACUGGCGGCUGCAGCUCCAGUUCAACCCCUAGCCUGGUAAUUUCUAUAUGCUACGGGUGCAGCCCUAAAAAUGCAAAAAUAAAAAAAAAUAAAUAAAACUGGAAAAGUUGAACAGCUGUUCUUGAAAAAGCAUGAGUAGAUUUUCAUAAAGAUAAAAGGCUCUAGAAAAAUAUAUUAUGAAACAGUUCAAAAAAGGAUAAUAACUUAAUAUUGAUUCUAUUUAACAUUUCUUCUAAAAAUAUUUUAACUACAUUAAUAAAAUCUGAAAAGUUGUUUUUACCUAUAGAAUGGAAACUUUCUCCAAUAUGGUUAUAUGAUGCAAGGAAUAGCUCAUUUUAAAAUUGUAUAUAAUUCUGAAAGGAGUUUUUCUUAUUCUUUUCAUUUCUAUUUUGAUUCUAAAAUUAUACUUUGAAGAUUUUUUUAAAUUUUUUUUACUCAAGAAGUGAGAGUGGUAGCAUUACCUUUGAGAUAAGGAGUCUUCAGGAAAGAAAUGACAUAGCUUAAACUCAUGAAUGGAGAUAAAUUUCCUUAGAGGUUUUCCUGUUUCACUUGGCUUAAAAUGUGGCAUUUUAUAUUUGUUAGAAGCCAGACUUAUGUUGAAGAUAAAAUUUUGACUUAUUCUUUUGUGGACUUAGAAAUUAAUCAUUUGCCACAUAGUCAAAACCUCUCUUUAACAUGAAGUCCUUAUUCAUUCUCAAAAUGAGACUUAAAGAUCUCCAUGUUUCAUAAAUCUGAGGAAACUAGCUCUAUAUUUUGGGGUUUGCGAUUUUUGUUUUUUGUUUUCCUAUUGGAUCACUGAUUCUGUUUACUAUUUUCAGGUCCAAAUAUUUCAAAUUAAGUCUUACAGUAUAGACACUACCCCAGCAGAAAUCAAAUGCAUGGAAACUGUUAUCCACAUACAAGUGCUUCCUCAGAAUUGUACUUCACUUCUUGUCAAGUCUCUGGAAUUUACUGUUAUUCAGUAAGCUCAUACCCUAUAAUAAAUACAGCACUGAAUAAAGGCAAAGCACAAAACUUCUAUUUAUUACUAAAUUUAUGUACCAUAUAAACAAGCCAUUAUUAAAUUAAUACUUGUCUGCUAUCCAAAACAUAUGUUUUUAUUUAAAAUAGAAAUAAUAAAUAUGCAUACUAUAGGAUUUAUUAAGAACACUUGGUGGAUGCUAUUUUAGUUUUAAAAUUCUUUCAAUUGUAGUAAUCUACUUUGUUCAAUCCUUUGUCUCUAUUGAUAUUUCCACCAUGAAAUAGAUCCAUGACUUUCUAAAUUCAAAGGAAAUUUUCACCCAGAGUACUCAAUUCUUUAGAUAUCCUUUCUUUGUUCCUUUCAAGAAACAGGAGGGAGAACUGCCUUAAAUGAUCAUAAGUAAACUGUGAAAUCUUAUAGACCUUGGCCUGAAUUCUAUUUUUUUUUUUCAUUAUGAGCUUUGAGAGAGAGUACAAAUUAUUUAAAUGGUCCAAAGCUCAAUUUCUUCCUCCAUUAAGUCGGGAAGAAAAAAAAGCAAAACAAAUCCCCAUGUAAACUUGACUUGAAGAUAAAAUGUAUAUCUGCAUGGAAAUAACACUAUAUUUUACAUUGUUAGCACUAGUCAGUAUCAACUAUAUAAAAUAAGAAUGGAGAGAAAUAAAUAAAAACUCCUAGACUCAGAUAUUCUACAGGCUCCAGAGAGGAUCUCUGUUCCCAUAGCCAAAAACCCACUGUUCAUUUUUCCUGUUGAGCUUUACUGUUCUAUCUUUACCCAGUUUGUUGCCUACUUUUAAUCUUUAGAGUAUAAAAAGAAAGGGAGUAUAUACUGUGUAUAUAUGAGAAAGGGAGUAUUCUAAGAUUGUAUUUUUUUUUUCUGAGUCAGAGUCCUUUUUCUUUGCUUUGUUUUUAUCAAAAUAUUCUCCAGGUGUA
Molecule: long non-coding RNA, 4328 nt
Filed under: Sus scrofa (pig)
Lineage: Eukaryota; Metazoa; Chordata; Mammalia; Artiodactyla; Suidae
Description: lncRNA (ENSSSCG00040030618.1)
Source: RNAcentral